GACGGAGGGCGCAAGCGUUGUUCGGAAUUACUGGGCGUAAAGCGCGGGCAGGCGGUUUCUUAAGUCCUUUGUGAAAUCCCGGGGCUCAACUCCGGAUGUGCAGAGGAUACUGGGAGACUGGAGACCGGUAGAGGCUAGCGGAAUUCCUGGUGUAGCGGUGGAAUGCGUAGAGAUCAGGAAGAACACCGGUGGCGAAGGCGGCUAGCUGGGCCGGUUCUGACGCUCAUCCGCGAAAGCGUGGGGAGCAAACAGG
Molecule: unclassified non-coding RNA, 253 nt
Filed under: uncultured Gemmatimonadota bacterium
Lineage: Bacteria; Pseudomonadati; Gemmatimonadota
Description: uncultured Gemmatimonadetes bacterium contains 16S-23S intergenic spacer region
Rfam family: Bacterial small subunit ribosomal RNA
Source: RNAcentral